Molecule: long non-coding RNA, 1713 nt
Organism: Lutra lutra (Eurasian river otter)
Lineage: Eukaryota; Metazoa; Chordata; Mammalia; Carnivora; Mustelidae
Exons: 3
Source: RefSeq, a predicted model, not a curated record
CCGGGACCGCAAUUCCCGGCAGGGAGCACGCCCUCCCGCUCCUGCAGAGGGGGGGGGGGGGGGGGGGGGGGAAGAAUUCAGGGGGCUGCGGGGCCGUCGGGGCAGAGCCCUCGGGUUUGAGGGGCCACGCACUACCCCGUCCCCAGGCGCUCUCCCUGACUCCUUUUCUCUUGCCAUACAGCAGCGGCGCCAAGGGGUUGGUAUGGGGGGACCUUCUUUGUCAGUUACCGUCGAGGCUUGGAGUAAUAUAAUUAAAACCGGGGUGCAGAAGAAAAACAAGCACCGUAGCCCUGGCUUUCGACUCAUUAGGCCGCUCAGCACCUCCUGCAUCGCAAUACCGGCCCCCCAAUCUGACCCCGGCCCCUGGCCCCAGUUGGAAAAGCAGCGUUAGUCCCCACGGAGGUUGGAGGUGAGAGAGCUCCUUGCACCAUCCCCAACCCCCGCCCCCGGUUGGGCUGCCCUCCCAUUCCCUAGCGCGGUGGUUCUCAGACUCCCGCGUGCAUCUCCCGGAGGGCUUGAUAAAACACGCAUUGAUAGACCUCAGAGAUUCUGUUUUGGGUCUGCGGUGUGACCCAAGAAUUGGCAAAUCUACCAAGCUGCCGGGAGAUGCUGAUGCUACUGGUCUGGGACCACACCGCAAAAUCACCGCGCAGCUUCACCAUGGGCCCGACAUCCCGCGAGGGCCAGUAAGUGUCAUCCGAACACACCAAAAAACCAGCCUGUCAAGUUGGACACAGAACCUUGAAGAGGGUAGGUGCCAGCCAUAGAUUGAAGGUGUUCCACCAAUAAAUUUCCUGCAUGUCCAGACCCGUCUCGGUGUCUGCCUCUCAAAGGACCCAAACUGAUGCACGCAACCCCAUGCUGGGUGGGACUCGAGGUUCUGCCUCUGCUGUAUACGUUGCACCAAACUCUGAGGCAAGAGGAAAGAGUAUGAGUUUCACAUUUCCAGCUUAUGCAUGCAGGGUUCCCGCUUGCUUGGAUCUUCUUCUUUUCCUUGCCUUCCCAGUGGACUCUGCAUCAGAUACAGAGUUUGUUCCUGCCACCGCUGCCCUCUGGAGAACUGGUCUUGCUGAGUUGUCGGGAUGAUGUCAUCCGCCUGUGCUGAGAGACAGGGGAGGAAACGGCCCAAAUGACACUCACUGUCAUCUGUCUUACAGAAUGUUGUCAAGCUGUGCUGUUUUGUAUCCCAGUGUCUAUUUAUAAGACUCCUCAGAGACUUGCCUAACUGGUCUUAGAAGCAAAAACAGUUGUAUUACUCCUGGAAAGCUGUUCUUUUUCCUCCGAGAAGCCCAUCUCCAAGGGUCCAGUAUUCUCUUCUCCCUGUCAUUCCGGAAUGAAGCAAAGAAACAAAGGAAGGAGGAAAAGGAGAAAAUACUUUGAGCUAUGAAAAAUCAAAGCAGAUAGGUGAUCAAAGGAAUCCAAAUACACAGGCAUUUUGUGUUUUUUUCCUCAGCGGAAUUUUAACAUUAACUCAUCACAGAUUCGUACCAAGUAAUAAUUAUGUACUCGCUUUUCAAAGCUCUGAAGUACAAACAGUAAGUGCCUGAAGAGGGCAUUCUCUGUAUGUGCCUUGUCUACAGACUCCUAAGUUCUUCUUCCCACCAUGUUUUUAGAAAUAACCAGCACAGUUAGGACUUUGUAGAAUGACAUUCGGACACUAUGCUUUCAUUUGAAGCCAGGCACAAUAAAAAUGUCUUUGAGGCUUUGUCCUGA